This 496-nucleotide ribosomal RNA is filed under the name uncultured bacterium. RNAcentral's name for it is "partial 16S ribosomal RNA". It matches the Rfam family "Bacterial small subunit ribosomal RNA", at positions 29 to 507 of the family's 1533-position model. The record is from RNAcentral.
AUGAACGCUGGUGGCGUGCCUAAUACAUGCAAGUCGAGCGAACGGACGAGAAGCUUGCUUCUCUGAUGUUAGCGGCGGACGGGUGAGUAACACGUGGAUAACCUACCUAUAAGACUGGGAUAACUUCGGGAAACCGGAGCUAAUACCGGAUAAUAUUUUGAACCGCAUGGUUCAAAAGUGAAAGACGGUCUUGCUGUCACUUAUAGAUGGAUCCGCGCUGCAUUAGCUAGUUGGUAAGGUAACGGCUCACCAAGGCAACGAUGCAUAGCCGACCUGAGAGGGUGAUCGGCCACACUGGAACUGAGACACGGUCCAGACUCCUACGGGAGGCAGCAGUAGGGAAUCUUCCGCAAUGGGCGAAAGCCUGACGGAGCAACGCCGCGUGAGUGAUGAAGGUCUUCGGAUCGUAAAACUCUGUUAUUAGGGAAGAACAUAUGUGUAAGUAACUGUGCACAUCUUGACGGUACCUAAUCAGAAAGCCACGGCUAACUACGUG